AACGAACGCUGGCGGCAGGCCUAACACAUGCAAGUCGAGCGAGGACUUCGGUCCUAGCGGCGGACGGGUGAGUAACGCGUGGGAACGUGCCUUUGGCUUCGGAAUAGCCCUGGGAACCUGGGGUUAAUACCGGAGGAGCCCUUUGGGGGAAAGAUUUAUCGGCGAAGGAUCGGCCCGCGUUGGAUUAGGUAGUUGGUGGGGUAAUGGCCUACCAAGCCGACGAUCCAUAGCUGGUUUCAGAGGAUGAUCAGCCACACUGGGACUGAGACACGGCCCAGACUCCUACGGGAGGCAGCAGUGGGGAAUCUUAGACAAUGGGGGAAACCCUGAUCUAGCCAUGCCGCGUGAGCGAUGAAGGCCUUAGGGUUGUAAAGCUCUUUCAGCUGGGAAGAUAAUGACGGUACCAGCAGAAGAAGCCCCGGCUAACUCCGUG
RNAcentral lists this ribosomal RNA (433 nucleotides) under uncultured bacterium. RNAcentral describes it as "partial 16S ribosomal RNA". It matches the Rfam family "Bacterial small subunit ribosomal RNA", at positions 29 to 507 of the family's 1533-position model. The record is from RNAcentral.